RNAcentral lists this ribosomal RNA (304 nucleotides) under Staphylococcus aureus. RNAcentral describes it as "partial 16S ribosomal RNA". It matches the Rfam family "Bacterial small subunit ribosomal RNA", at positions 1231 to 1533 of the family's 1533-position model. Lineage: Bacteria; Bacillati; Bacillota; Bacilli; Caryophanales; Staphylococcaceae. The record is from RNAcentral.
UGGACAAUACAAAGGGCAGCGAAACCGCGAGGUCAAGCAAAUCCCAUAAAGUUGUUCUCAGUUCGGAUUGUAGUCUGCAACUCGACUACAUGAAGCUGGAAUCGCUAGUAAUCGUAGAUCAGCAUGCUACGGUGAAUACGUUCCCGGGUCUUGUACACACCGCCCGUCACACCACGAGAGUUUGUAACACCCGAAGCCGGUGGAGUAACCUUUUAGGAGCUAGCCGUCGAAGGUGGGACAAAUGAUUGGGGUGAAGUCGUAACAAGGUAGCCGUAUCGGAAGGUGCGGCUGGAUCACCUCCUUU